RNAcentral lists this ribosomal RNA (438 nucleotides) under uncultured bacterium. Its description in RNAcentral is "bacterial SSU rRNA". It matches the Rfam family "Bacterial small subunit ribosomal RNA", at positions 954 to 1392 of the family's 1533-position model. The record is from RNAcentral.
GCACAACGCGAAGAACCUUACCAAGGCUUGACAUACACGAGAACACUCUGGAAACAGGGGACUCUUUGGACACUCGUGAACAGGUGGUGCAUGGUUGUCGUCAGCUCGUGUCGUGAGAUGUUGGGUUAAGUCCCGCAACGAGCGCAACCCUCGUUCUAUGUUGCCAGCACGUUAUGGUGGGAACUCAUGGGAUACUGCCGGGGUCAACUCGGAGGAAGGUGGGGAUGACGUCAAAUCAUCAUGCCCCUUAUGUCUUGGGCUUCACGCAUGCUACAAUGGCCGGUACAAAGGGCUGCAAUACCGUGAGGUGGAGCGAAUCCCAAAAAGCCGGUCCCAGUUCGGAUUGAGGUCUGCAACUCGACCUCAUGAAGUCGGAGUCGCUAGUAAUCGCGAAUCAGAAUGUCGCGGUGAAUACGUUCCCGGGUCUUGUACACACCG